UUUUUUUUGGUAAAAUAUGAAGUUUUUAUACCAUUUUCGAAGUUUUGAUAAAGAAUAAAAGUAGCGGAAAAAAACAAAAAGAAUUACAGAAUAUGCAGACAAUAAUAAUAAAUAAAGGAGAAAAACGAAAAAUUCAGAGUGAAAACAAGAGAAAAAACACCGAUUCCAAAGUGUUAAACUCGAAAAUAUCGGUUAAGUUUAUUGUUCAAAAGAAAUCUAUGGAUGGUACAAGCAAUAUAUAUAUUUGAUAUGCAUCAAUAAAGAUUAGACAAGAAAAAGGCGAAGUCAUGUGGUACAUAUGCUUAUUAUGACAUUAUAAAUAUAUCGAUCUGAUGAGUAACUGGC
This 345-nucleotide small RNA is filed under the name Arabidopsis thaliana (thale cress). RNAcentral's name for it is "ATSL065610". Lineage: Eukaryota; Viridiplantae; Streptophyta; Magnoliopsida; Brassicales; Brassicaceae. The record is from RNAcentral.